RNAcentral lists this ribosomal RNA (103 nucleotides) under Pseudomonas aeruginosa. Lineage: Bacteria; Pseudomonadati; Pseudomonadota; Gammaproteobacteria; Pseudomonadales; Pseudomonadaceae. The record is from RNAcentral.
CUUGACGAUCAUAGAGCGUUGGAACCACCUGAUCCCUUCCCGAACUCAGAAGUGAAACGACGCAUCGCCGAUGGUAGGAACCAGUACUAAUUGCCCGUGAGGC